GUCGGGGGGAAGUGGAGGGUGCGGGCGUGGGCCGGGAGCAGUGGGCCGAAAGGGGGCGUAGGCGGCCUGGUAAGGGUGCGGUGAAAGCCCGUGGCUCAACCCCGGGUCGGCCGUGGCAACUGCUGGGCUGGAGCACAGUAGAGGCGGGUGGAAUUCCGGGUGUAGCGGUGGAAUGCGUAGAGAUCCGGAAGAACACCGGUGGCGAAGGCGGCCCGCUGGGCUGUGACUCUUCGGAGUCUUCAAGCUGACGCUGAGGCGCGACAGCGUGGGGAGCAAACAGGAUUAGAUACCCUAGUAGUC
Molecule: ribosomal RNA, 300 nt
Filed under: uncultured Deinococcus sp.
Lineage: Bacteria; Thermotogati; Deinococcota; Deinococci; Deinococcales; Deinococcaceae
Description: bacterial SSU rRNA
Rfam family: Bacterial small subunit ribosomal RNA
Source: RNAcentral